UGCCAGCCGCCGCGGUAAUACGAAGGGACCUAGCGUAGUUCGGAAUUACUGGGCUUAAAGAGUUCGUAGGUGGUUGAAAAAGUUAGUGGUGAAAUCCCAGAGCUUAACUCUGGAACUGCCAUUAAAACUGUUAGUCUUGAGAUCGAGAGAGGUGAGUGGAAUUCCAAGUGUAGAGGUGAAAUUCGUAGAUAUUUGGAGGAACACCAGUGGCGAAGGCGGCUCACUGGCUCGAUACUGACGCUGGAGAACGCUAGUGUGCGGCGUAAUAACGCUGCUGCU
Molecule: ribosomal RNA, 279 nt
Filed under: uncultured bacterium
Lineage: Bacteria
Description: partial 16S ribosomal RNA
Rfam family: Bacterial small subunit ribosomal RNA
Source: RNAcentral